Bombyx mori (domestic silkworm) is the source of this 1989-nucleotide long non-coding RNA. RefSeq lists it as uncharacterized. The record is from RefSeq and is marked validated. The transcript has 6 exons. Lineage: Eukaryota; Metazoa; Arthropoda; Insecta; Lepidoptera; Bombycidae.
GAAAAUAUAAGUUAGAUAAGGUUUAGGCAGGAAAAUUGGAUUAGGAUUAAUAUAAUUAGGAAGAAUAAAUAAUAUAUAUAAUUAUAAUUUUAGGUUAAAACUGUUGAGGAAUAAGAUAAUAAUUUUAUAAAUAACUGGGUCUACUGUAUGUAAUAAAUAAGGUACAGAUAUAGGAAAAGGAAUACUAAGUGAUGAUAAAGAACUAUAAAGAAGUGAAUGAUCAAAAAGGGGACAUGAAAGAAUAAUGUGAUUUAAAUCGCCAAUGUCCGCACCGCACUCACACUUACUGCUAUCCAGCACUCCGAUCGUCGCUAGAUGUGCCGGACUACACGUGUGGCCUAAUCUCAUCCGUAUCAAACUGGAAGUCUCGUGGCGUUUAAAAUUAUAUUUGUAGAACCAUGGUUUGGAAGGAAUGGUUUCUACAGUCUAAGAGAAUAGGGUAAAUCGGUUGAGAUUUAAAAGGAAAUUUUGCAAGAGCCUGUAAAGAACUCUUUGAAUCGGGAUUUGAAAACGAAUUUAUCAGAUAAAUAUUGACGUCUCAAAUGAAGAGGAGGAUCAACACAUUCUACCUGUAAUGCUGUAACAGGACUAGAUUUCAUGGCUCCAGUGAUAAUUCUGAGUGACUUAGACUGUAUAGUGUCUAGUUUUUUGAAAGCAUUCACAUCCCCUGGUUGAAGUAAAAAAGUACCAUAAUCUAAAACUGAUCUUACUAUGGCAUUAUAUAAAAGUUUUAAAUUGAAUGGGUGGGCACCCCACCAUACACCGGCAAGAGAACAUGAGAGAGCUAUGGGUCUGUAUGACAAUACAUCUGAUGAAGAUUUACCCGGUUUGAGAAUGGGUAAAAUAAUUUGUUUUUUCCAUGACUCUGGGAUAACACAUGUAAUGAACAUAGAAUUUAUAAGGUUGAGGUAAUAUGUGAGACUAGAAUCACUCAAAUGGACAAAGAAAGAAUAAGGAAUCUUAUCAUCACCUGGAGCAGAGUCCUUAAGAUUCGAGAUUACCCCCUUCAGUUCAUUAAAUGAAAAAGGUAAAUCAAAAUCUGAAACUGGAUCUGAACAUGAGAAAGGAAGGACAGACGGGAUAAGAACUAAACAUUCUUCUGGAACAUAAGGGGGAGCUAAUUUAUCAAGAAACUUGUCAGCCAGAUCAUAAGGACAAAGACGGCACCAGAGAUGGGGAGGAAAUAGAUAUAUCAGGAGCACUAACAAUUUGAUCAGGACCAGUUCUACGAGUUGGACUUCCAGAAUUUAAAAUACACAAAUUCUGUUCAUUAACAAAAUCAAGAAUUAUAUCUCCAAAUUCAUUAGAUAUUGAGCUUCCCCAUGUUUGAUGCCACAGGAGAUUCGGAAUUUUCAUUAAAUUUUAAAGCACAGCCAUUAGAAGGAGAUGGAGCAUCGUAAUCUCUUGUAAGAUUUCUAUGGGCCCUUUGAUCAAAACCUUUAUCACCUUUAAAGGGAGAUCGAGGUUUCAUAAAAACUGUUUUUUUAUAUGACGAUGGACUUUUACUGGCAAUUACUGGGCUGGGGGCAGUAGAUUCAUGAAACGUUGAAUGAUUCUUACGAUCCGAUGGAAUUGAAGAAAGAACAUCAGCAUACGAUUUAUACACUGGAGGAUGAAGUUUACAUGCUUCCAAGUAUGACACACAACUGUUCGCCAUUGUCUGCUUUAUGGCCCUUUGUCUUUCAAAUUCUGGACAUUUCUUAUUUAUAGCAAAGUGUAAGCCGUUACAAAGACAACAGGAAACAUUUUCCUCCUCUACAUUACAAGAAUCUCCUGUAUGAUCUUGACCACAUUUAAAACAACGCGGUUUCGAUCUACACUGAGCUCUAACAUGACCGAAUCUACAGCAAUUAAAACAUUGAACUGUAGGAUAAAUGUAUAAAUCAACUGGUAAUGAUGUAAAACACAUAUAUACUCUUUUAGGUAAAACCUGUCCAUCAAAUGUUAUUACCACGGAUUCUGUGUCAAUAAAAGUUUUAUUAUCAUUUA